UAACACAUGCAAGUCGAGCGGUAGAGAGAAGCUUGCUUCUCUUGAGAGCGGCGGACGGGUGAGUAAUGCCUAGGAAUCUGCCUGGUAGUGGGGGAUAACGCUCGGAAACGGACGCUAAUACCGCAUACGUCCUACGGGAGAAAGCAGGGGACCUUCGGGCCUUGCGCUAUCAGAUGAGCCUAGGUCGGAUUAGCUAGUUGGUGAGGUAAUGGCUCACCAAGGCGACGAUCCGUAACUGGUCUGAGAGGAUGAUCAGUCACACUGGAACUGAGACACGGUCCAGACUCCUACGGGAGGCAGCAGUGGGGAAUAUUGGACAAUGGGCGAAAGCCUGAUCCAGCCAUGCCGCGUGUGUGAAGAAGGUCUUCGGAUUGUAAAGCACUUUAAGUUGGGAGGAAGGGCAUUAACCUAAUACGUUGGUGUCUUGACGUUACCGACAGAAUAAGCACCGGCUAACUCUGUGCCAGCAGCCGCGUUAAUACAGAGGGUGCAAGCGUUAAUCGGAAUUACUGGGCGUAAAGCGCGCGUAGGUGGUUCGUUAAGUUGGAUGUGAAAUCCCCGGGCUCAACCUGGGAACUGCAUUCAAAACUGACGAGCUAGAGUAUGGUAGAGGGUGGUGGAAUUUCCUGUGUAGCGGUGAAAUGCGUAG
Molecule: ribosomal RNA, 649 nt
Filed under: gamma proteobacterium TH-S45
Lineage: Bacteria; Pseudomonadati; Pseudomonadota; Gammaproteobacteria
Description: bacterial SSU rRNA
Rfam family: Bacterial small subunit ribosomal RNA
Source: RNAcentral